RNAcentral lists this transfer RNA (72 nucleotides) under Camelus bactrianus (Bactrian camel). It matches the Rfam family "tRNA". From Rfam's summary of the family: Transfer RNA (tRNA) molecules are approximately 80 nucleotides in length. RNAcentral also lists the same sequence under 1 other name. Lineage: Eukaryota; Metazoa; Chordata; Mammalia; Artiodactyla; Camelidae. The record is from Rfam by way of RNAcentral.
GAGGAUAUAGCUCAGUGGUGGAGUGCGUGCUUAGCAUGCAUGAGGCCCUGGGACCAAUCCCCAGUACCUUCA